Molecule: long non-coding RNA, 1792 nt
Filed under: Homo sapiens (human)
Lineage: Eukaryota; Metazoa; Chordata; Mammalia; Primates; Hominidae
Description: PREDICTED lncRNA (TCONS_00031228)
Source: RNAcentral
CCCAGAUUAGAUUGUACCCUGGCGAAUAAGCAAGAGUUCUUUUUCAUUUUCAUCUUGCAAUUCAACUGGGUAUUUGGGUUCUUUUUCUAUUCACUCAUGUCAGAUAGAGACAUGCAUGUUGUAAAUUAUUUUGUCAGAAUGAAAGCCUGGCAGAUUAAAUGCUUUCUUCUCUUCUUGCUUUACUUGAUAUCAAUCUCUUGUUCAUUUCUUGAUAAUAUGUUUGGUUAUUUUUGUUUUCAUUGCUUUUAGUGUCAGAGAUGGCUUUGGAUUCCCCAUUCUGUGUGCUGCUGUCUGGCUCCUGAACCCACCUGUAGAGGUGUGUCAAUCCCAGCUGGUGAAGUACUGAGAAGAAGCUACACAAAAGGCAUCAAAGUAUUAGUGAGUGGUGUCAUUGAGCAAACACAAAGUCGGGCUCAUCCAAGGAUGAGAUUUUGCCAGAGAAAGGACGAGCAGCAAGUCAGGGAGCUUAAGAGACGAGGUUUUACUACGUAGGCGAAGUUGGUCUCGAACUCCUGACCUCAGAUGAUCCACCCGCCUCAGCCUCCCAAAGUGCUGGGAUUACAGGCGUGAGCCACCGCACCUGGCCUGUUUAUUCUCUUAAGAGAGAAAAUGAGGGGAUUAGUGGACUGUAGUUCUGGACAAGGUGGAAAACUCUUAAAGUGGAAGUAUUGGGGCAAGUGCUCUGACAGGCUAGGAUGGUGCAGUCAGUCCCUUCACCCAGAAAUCAGUAGAAUGUUAACAGUUCAGACUCAAACCUUGUGAAAAACAGGUUCUAGAAAGGAAAUCCCUCACAGCAACUGGCACCAUAAUCAAGACAGAAUUUUUGCAGAAUAAAUAGAGUUACCUGCUUUCAGCCCCAGGUCGUAGCUAUUGUCUGCCCUGCUGAUAUGUGAUAAUAAUUUGUGAUCCUGUUGUCUUAAAAUGGGGUCACUCAUCUCCAGUAGAAUUAAGUCCACAGUGAAGUUGUCCCCCCAUCCCCAGAGAUAAACAUAUAUGAAUGAACUUACGUGAUAACAACUACUGCUGCCUGGGAUCAUGAGAGACCUGAACUGAACUGAUAGGAAGUGAAAGGUGGCUGAGGUAAUGAGAAUAGACCCAUCUGCAGAGGAUCAUAAAACCAGCAAAGACAAGAUCUUGUCUAAGAUGCCUUCACAAACUUUGUCCAUGAGAACUGUAAGGUCUUCUCCAGACCUGUUGGCUGCUGCUGUGAUCUCUGCCCAAGAGGAGCUUCUGACCAACAUCCAAAGGGCUUCUGGACCCACUGGACUCCUCUGGAGUUGCUCCUUCACAUGUUCCCACUCUCUGUGCGGCCACCAUGGAAGUCGGACCUGCCCUUCUGCCAUGAUUGUAAGUUUCCUGAAGGACUUCCCCCUCUGCCAUGAUUCUAAGUUUCCUGAGGCCUCCCCAGCCAUGUGAAACUGAGUCAGUUAAACCUCUUUCCUUUAAAAAUUACCCAACCUGAGGUAUUUCUUUAUAUCAGUGUGAAAACAGACUGCUAUACUUUCUGAUAAUCAUGCUUAAGCAACUGGGGAAUUCAGACUAGCUGGGAUCAAACUAUGGCCCCACCCUUAGCAGUCAUGUGACCUUGGGGAGGUUGCUUACCUUCUCCGUCUCAACAACUUCUGCAAAAUCUGUAACAUGAGAUUGUUUCUGAGGGUUAAAUGAGCAUAGCACAGUGGGGACACUGUCAGGCACACACUACUUGCCAGAUGUCGAGUAUUCAUCUUUAUUGAAAUAGGACUGUGGUAAGCCACUUUAUGGCUCUCGAUUUUGUAUGAGAAAAUCAUGCUUA